CCAUUAAAAUGUGCAAAGUAGGAUCGUGGAAUCUGCCUAACCAGCUAGAAUUAACGCCUAAGCGUCUCCUUCCACAGUUCCAUCCUAGAAGACAGAAGAUAAGGAUUUGAAUCUAUGCGUAUACUGUCAGAUGUGGGAGCUGGCCAAUCCUGGAACUGUGACAUAUUUGCUGAGGUGAACAUUAUUGGCACUGCAUCCUCCAUUCUUGCCCUACGAAUGAACAUUGAGAAAAGGAAGAAAAGAAGACCGAAUCUCUGUAUUUCGCUGGAACCGUUUCCUAAAUUACCCCUGAUUAAAAUCACCAUAAUGAUAA
Molecule: long non-coding RNA, 313 nt
Organism: Ornithorhynchus anatinus (platypus)
Lineage: Eukaryota; Metazoa; Chordata; Mammalia; Monotremata; Ornithorhynchidae
Exons: 3
Source: RefSeq, a predicted model, not a curated record